Molecule: ribosomal RNA, 468 nt
Filed under: Comamonas sp. R-28452
Lineage: Bacteria; Pseudomonadati; Pseudomonadota; Betaproteobacteria; Burkholderiales; Comamonadaceae
Description: bacterial SSU rRNA
Rfam family: Bacterial small subunit ribosomal RNA
Source: RNAcentral
AGUUUGAUCCUGGCUCAGAUUGAACGCUGGCGGCAUGCCUUACACAUGCAAGUCGAACGGUAACAGGUCUUUCGGGAUGCUGACGAGUGGCGAACGGGUGAGUAAUACAUCGGAACGUGCCUAGUAGUGGGGGAUAACUACUCGAAAGAGUGGCUAAUACCGCAUGAGAUCUAUGGAUGAAAGCAGGGGACCUUCGGGCCUUGUGCUACUAGAGCGGCCGAUGGCAGAUUAGGUAGUUGGUGGGAUAAAAGCUUACCAAGCCUACGAUCUGUAGCUGGUCUGAGAGGACGAUCAGCCACACUGGGACUGAGACACGGCCCAGACUCCUACGGGAGGCAGCAGUGGGGAAUUUUGGACAAUGGGGGAAACCCUGAUCCAGCAAUGCCGCGUGCAGGAUGAAGGCCUUCGGGUUGUAAACUGCUUUUGUACGGAACGAAAAGUCUUGGGCUAAUACCCUGGGAUCAUGAC